This 274-nucleotide ribosomal RNA is filed under the name uncultured bacterium. Its description in RNAcentral is "partial 16S ribosomal RNA". It matches the Rfam family "Bacterial small subunit ribosomal RNA", at positions 523 to 796 of the family's 1533-position model. The record is from RNAcentral.
AUACGGAUGGUUCGAGCGUUGUUCGGAAUUACUGGGCGUAAAGGGCGCGUAGGCGGCGAUGUAAGUCAAAUGUGAAAGUCCUCGGCUUAACCGGGGAAGUGCAUCUGAAACUGCAUUGCUUGAGUAUGGGAGAGGAAAGUGGAAUUCCCGGUGUAGAGGUGAAAUUCGUAGAGAUCGGGAGGAAUACCGGUGGCGAAGGCGACUUUCUGGACCAAUACUGGCGCUGAGGCGCGAAAGCGUGGGGAGCAAACGGGAUUAGAAACCCUAGUAGUCC